GAUGAACGCUGGCGGCGUGCCUAAUACAUGCCAGUCGAGCGAACAGACGAGGAGCUUGCUCCUCUGACGUUAGCGGCGGACGGGUGAGUAACACGUGGAUAACCUACCUAUAAGACUGGGAUAACUUCGGGAAACCGGAGCUAAUACCAGAUAAUAUAUUGAACCGCAUGGUUCAAUAGUGAAAGACGGUUUUGCUGUCACUUAUAGAUGGAUCCGCGCCGCAUUAGCUAGUUGGUAAGGUAACGGCUUACCAAGGCAACGAUGCGUAGCCGACCUGAGAGGGUGAUCGGCCACACUGGAACUGAGACACGGUCCAGACUCCUACGGGAGGCAGCAGUAGGGAAUCUUCCGCAAUGGGCGAAAGCCUGACGGAGCAACGCCGCGUGAGUGAUGAAGGUCUUCGGAUCGUAAAACUCUGUUAUUAGGGAAGAACAAAUGUGUAAGUAACUAUGCACGUCUUGACGGUACCUAAUCAGAAAGCCACGGCUAACUACGUG
This 497-nucleotide ribosomal RNA is filed under the name uncultured bacterium. Its description in RNAcentral is "partial 16S ribosomal RNA". It matches the Rfam family "Bacterial small subunit ribosomal RNA", at positions 28 to 507 of the family's 1533-position model. The record is from RNAcentral.